This 177-nucleotide non-coding RNA is filed under the name Pseudoalteromonas luteoviolacea. RNAcentral describes it as "Lysine sequence". It matches the Rfam family "Lysine riboswitch aptamer". Rfam says of the family: Riboswitches are metabolite binding domains within certain messenger RNAs that serve as precision sensors for their corresponding targets. Allosteric rearrangement of mRNA structure is mediated by ligand binding, and this results in modulation of gene expression. This family includes riboswitches that sense lysine in a number of genes involved in lysine metabolism, including lysC. The record is from RNAcentral. Lineage: Bacteria; Pseudomonadati; Pseudomonadota; Gammaproteobacteria; Alteromonadales; Pseudoalteromonadaceae.
GCGCACAGAAGAGGUGCGAUACCUAGGUAAUUAACGUGAGAGGGCGAAACUCGAUGAACGUUAAUGAGGGAGAGUAUCGCCGAGAGUUACUGCGAUUUCGUCAUUGCUGUUUCUCGGUCUUUGGGGUUGAAUCUCCGAGACUGUCACCAAUAAAAAUGGUGGAGAGCUUCUGGCAGU